Molecule: non-coding RNA, 66 nt
Organism: Podarcis lilfordi (Lilford's wall lizard)
Lineage: Eukaryota; Metazoa; Chordata; Lepidosauria; Squamata; Lacertidae
Source: the annotation of a GenBank genome assembly
GCAGCUCAGUGGCAAAGCAUCUGUUUUGCAUGCAGAAAACCCCGGGUUCGGUUCCCAGCAUCUGCA